Long non-coding RNA from Panicum virgatum (switchgrass), 1376 nucleotides. RefSeq lists it as uncharacterized. The record is from RefSeq and is a predicted model, not a curated record. The transcript has 4 exons. NCBI's taxonomy places the organism in Eukaryota, Viridiplantae, Streptophyta, Magnoliopsida, Poales, Poaceae.
CAAAUGUCGAACCCUAGUUCAAGCUCGCUCCAUCCCCCGGCCUCCUCUCCCCAUCCCACGCGAGCGCCGCCGGGUCAGCCUCGGCUGGCGGCGCCGUCCCCCUCGCUCACCGGCUACACCGCGUGCCCAGCCCCGCGUCGCCGCCGGGUCAACCUCAGCUGGCGGCCUCGGCCCCCUCUCCCAUCGACUCCACCACUCGGGGAUUCUUUCCGCCGGCACCCGCGCCCUUUCAUCCCCUCCGCCGGCACUCGCGCGUGGCGACCGAGCUGGAGCAGGCGCUAUUUGCCGCUGGCACGCGUGCCACGCAGGGGCACCGCGGUGGCACUGCGGCAGGCGCGCGGUUCCGCCUCGCAGGAGCGCCGAUUCGACGGCCCAUCUCUUCUCCUCCACUCGUCCAUGGCGGUCAUGCGGCCGUGGCUCCGUGUCAUGCUUAUCAUCAGGCCUCAGUACCUGGGUACAGCAGCUUCUCCUCGGGCUCGCCACCAGCGUUGCCUCACCCUGUUCUUCCUGCAGGGUUGUCUCGAUUAGAUCCAGCGAUUGUGAGGAGAGGGAAGGCAGUGGCCGCUGGCCGGAUCUGAAGUAGGAUGGUCGCUUCUCAUCCGGUCCAGUCUGCAUUGUGGUUCCCUCCAGCCUGCAGUACACGGAUCCACCAUUGCCGAGGCACAGGUUGAACAUUUCCUUCUCAUCUCAAUGGAUUUGAUUAACCAUGUGGGAAGUGUCUACUGGUAUUCCUUUCUUUUUGCCAUUCUAUCGAACUGAAAUUUCCGGUGAAGUAGUGGAUCUGUGCUCACUGUCGGAGCAAUUUGUAUUGUCUUGUUUAAUUCAAGUAGAGUUCAAUAACUUCUGAUUGAUGAUAGAAGUCAAAUAUUGUGUUCUUGCAGUAUCCAUUUUAGCCAAAGAUAUAUGACUGAGAGUACAAGGAUUCAAUUUAUUCCAAUCUAAAUGAUAUGAAACUCAGAAACUCUUAUGAGUUAGAAUAUGUUGCCUUUAGAAACUAUAGCUAGGUUUCACUGAUUACAUUUAAUUUUCUGAUGCUUGCAGUUCUCCAUAGACCACUUAGGAAAUUGGAGAUGAAAAAUGCUCAGUAGUUAAAGAUGGCAUCAAAGUCUUCCCAGAGGAAUGCAGGAACUUCUAGGAGGGGUAAUAGGCAGAAGCUAAGCUGAUCAAAUUAAAGUGUUGAGCUGAUGAUAGGAUACCAUGAGCUAUGUUCAGCUAGGAUAUGUAUAUAUGAUGUGUAACAUAGUAUCAAUUAUGAUACCAUUAUGUAAAAGGACGAUAUAUGUUAGGAAGAUGUAUGUUUAUUGAAGUUGACUCCUACUCGUGUAUAUGAUGAAUGAACCUUUGAAACUCAAUAUGAAAUAUGUAUUAACUGCUCA